This 232-nucleotide long non-coding RNA is filed under the name Solanum tuberosum (potato). RNAcentral describes it as "long non-coding RNA (STUB_LNC004527)". The record is from RNAcentral. Lineage: Eukaryota; Viridiplantae; Streptophyta; Magnoliopsida; Solanales; Solanaceae.
CUAGAAACAUAACUAGAACUUACCUAAGUCAAAUCAUUAAUCAAAACUUAGAAAAUUAGAAGCAAGAGAGGAGAAAAAGGUCAAGAACCCUAGUUCAAGAACGCAGCGAGGUUUCUUCAGUUCCAGCCCCGAAAUCGAAAGAUUUCUCCGUGGAAUUCGUCACCAGGUAUGUGGGAUUUCACUAGUGGGUUCCUUUCGCCCAUUAGAUCCCUAGAAUUCAGUCAGAUUCUUG